AGAAAAAAAAAAGUAGUAAAUAAAUUCACUAAAAAAAAAUAAGUGGUAGAAUUAACUAGGUUGAGCUCAUUAGUACUCGAGUAAUUAAGUCUGAGGGGACUUUGUGCCUAACAACCUAAAGCCCUUCGUGGUUUGGGAUUGUUGACCCAACGCUCGCUACAUGGGUACUAGUGCAUAAAUCUUUAGGGAUCUCAACCAUUGCACGGUUAAAUAAACCACUAGAAUAGAGUGAAUAAUUGGUGUGUG
This 246-nucleotide long non-coding RNA is filed under the name Daucus carota (carrot). RNAcentral's name for it is "long non-coding RNA (DCAR_LNC007284)". Lineage: Eukaryota; Viridiplantae; Streptophyta; Magnoliopsida; Apiales; Apiaceae. The record is from RNAcentral.